GGCUAAUGCCGAAUGUGACCACGACCAGUAUCAUCUGGUUGCGGUAAAAGCAGGGGACCGCAAGGCCUUGCACUUGGAAAUGAGUCCGCGUCUGAUUAGCUAGUUGGCGGGGUAAUGGCCCACCAAGGCGACGAUCAGUAGCCGGCCUGAGAGGGUGAACGGCCACACUGGGACUGAGACACGGCCCAGACUCCUACGGGAGGCAGCAGUAGGGAAUUUUCCACAAUGGGCGAAAGCCUGAUGGAGCAACGCCGCGUGAGGGAUGAAGGUCUUCGGAUUGUAAACCUCUUUGGAGUGGGAAGAAUGAUUUUCGCAUUAAUAAUGCGGGGAAAUGACGGUACCACUAGAACAAGACACGGCUAACUCUGUGCCAGCAGCCGCGGUAAUACAGAGGUGUCAAACGUUGUCCGGAAUUACUGGGCGUAAAGGGCGCGUAGGCGGCCUUAUAAGUCAGAUGUGAAAGCUCCGGGCUCAACCCGGGAAUUGCAUCUGAUACUGUAAGGCUUGAGUUCGGUAGAGGAGGGCGGAAUUCCAGGUGUAGCGGUGAAAUGCGUAGAUAUCUGGAGGAACACCCGUGGCGAAGGCGGCUCUCUGGUCCGAAACUGACGCUGAGGUGCGAAAGCUAGGGUAGCAAACAGGAUUAGAUACCCUGGUAGUCCUAGCUGUAAACGAUGAGUACUAGGUGUUGGAGGUAUUGACCCCUUCAGUGCCGAAGCUAACGCAUUAA
Molecule: ribosomal RNA, 727 nt
Filed under: uncultured bacterium
Lineage: Bacteria
Description: bacterial SSU rRNA
Rfam family: Bacterial small subunit ribosomal RNA
Source: RNAcentral